GGGACCGUAGCUCAGUUGGUUAGAGCAGCUCCCUGCGGUACAGAUAUUGUGUGCCGUAGACGCGAUGCGGGUCGGAGGUUCGAAUCCUCCCGGUCCCC
RNAcentral lists this transfer RNA (98 nucleotides) under Pseudomonas atacamensis R28-S. RNAcentral describes it as "Pseudomonas moraviensis R28-S tRNA-Arg". It matches the Rfam family "tRNA". From Rfam's summary of the family: Transfer RNA (tRNA) molecules are approximately 80 nucleotides in length. Their secondary structure includes four short double-helical elements and three loops (D, anti-codon, and T loops). Lineage: Bacteria; Pseudomonadati; Pseudomonadota; Gammaproteobacteria; Pseudomonadales; Pseudomonadaceae. The record is from RNAcentral.